GACGUAGGGCGCGAGCGUUGUCCGGAUUUAUUGGGCGUAAAGAGCUCGUAGGCGGCUUGUCGCGUCGGCUGUGAAAACCCGCGGCUCAACUGUGGGCGGGCAGCUGAUACGGGCAGGCUGGAGUUCGGUAGGGGAGACUGGAAUUCCUGGUGUAGCGGUGAAAUGCGCAGAUAUCAGGAGGAACACCGGUGGCGAAGGCGACUACCUGGCCUGUUUCUUGACGCUGAGGCGCGAAAGCUAGGGGAGCAAACGGG
Molecule: ribosomal RNA, 254 nt
Filed under: uncultured bacterium
Lineage: Bacteria
Description: partial 16S ribosomal RNA
Rfam family: Bacterial small subunit ribosomal RNA
Source: RNAcentral